GAGGAAAGGGUGAUGCAGCAAAGUAACGUAAGUAUUUCCCUCAGUUUUUGAGAACCAAGGUAUCAAUCCAGUAGGAGGCCACACACGAGUCCCUCGCACCUACACAAACAAAUAAAAUCCUCGCAACCAAUGCAAUAAAGGGGUUGUCAAUCCCUUCACGGUCACUUACGAAAGUGAGAUCUGAUAGAUAUGAUAAGAUAAUAUUUUUGGUAUUUUUAGUAUAAAUAUGCAAAGUAAAGAAAGCAAAAUAAACGGAAAAGGAAAUAGCUUGUUGACGGAAGAUUAAUAUGAUGGAAAAUAGACCCGGGGGCCAUAGGUUUCACUAGUGGCUUCUCUCAAGAGCAUAAGUAUUACGGUGGGUAAACAAAUUACUGUUGAGCAAUUGACAGAAUUGAGCAUAGUUAUGAGAAUAUCUAGGUAUGAUCAUGUAUAUAGGCAUCAUGUCCGAGACAAGUAGACCGACUCUUGCCUGCAUUUACUACUAUUACUCCACACAUCGACCGCUAUCUAGCAUGCAUCUAGAGUAUUAAGUUCAAAAGAAUAGAGUAACGCUAUAAGCAAGAUGACAUGAUGUAUAGGGAUAAACUCAUGCAAUAUGAAAUAAACCCCAUCUUGUUAUCCUCGAUGGCAACAAUACAAUAUGUGCCUUGCUGCCCCUACUGUCACUGGGAAAGGACACCGCAAGAUUGAACCCAAAGCUAAGCACUUCUCCCAUUGCAAGAAAGAUCAAUCUAGUAGGCCAAACCAAACUGAUAAUUCGAAGAGACUUGCAAAGAUAACCAAUCAUACAUAAAAGAAUUCAGAGAAGAUUCAAAUAUUGUUCCUAGAUAAACUUGAUCAUAAACCCACAAUUCAUCGGUCUCAACAAACACACCGCAAGAAGAUUACAUCGAAUAGAUCUCCACAAGAGAGGGGGAGAACUUUGUAUUGAGAUCCAAAAAGAGAGAAGAAGCCAUCUAGCUAAUAACUAUGGACCCGAAGGUCUGAAGUAAACUACUCACACUUCAUCGGAGAGGCUAUGGUGUUGAUGUAGAAGCCCUUUGUGAUCGAUGCCCCCUCCAGCGGAGCUCCGAAAAAGGCCCCAAGAUGGGAUCUCAUGGAGACAGAAAGUUACGGCGGUGGAAUUAGGGUUUUGGCUCCGUAUCUGGUAGUUUGGGGGUACGUAGGUAUAUAUAGGAGGAAGAAGUACGUUGGUGGAGCAACGUGGGCCCCACGAGGGUGGAGGGCGCGCCUGGGGGGGUAGGCGCGCCCCCUACCUCGUUACCUCCUGGUUUCUUUCUUGACGUAGGGUACAAGUCCUAUGGAUCAUGUUCGUUCCGAAAAUCACAUUCCCGAAGGUUUCAUUCCGUUUGGACUCUGUUUGAUAUUCUUUUUCUGCAAAACUCUGAAAUAGGCAAAAAGAACAAUUUUGGGCUGGGCUCCGGUUAAUAGGUUAGUCCCAAAAAUAAUAUAAAAGUGUAUAAUAAAGCCCAAUAAUGUCCAAAACAGGAUAUAAUAUAGCAUGGAACAAUAAAAAAUUAUAGAUACGUUGGAGACGUAUCAAGCAUCCCCAAGCUUAAUUCCUACUCGUCCUCGAGUAGGUAAAUGAUAAAACAGAAUUUUUGAUGUGGAAUGCUACUUGGCAUAAUUUCAAUGUAAUUCUCUUAAUUGUGGUAUGAAUAUUCAGAUCCGAAAGAUUCAAGACAAAAUUUCAAUAUUGACAUAUAAAUAAUAAUACUUCAAGCAUACUAACUAAGCAAUUAUGUCUCUUCAAAAUAACAUGGCCAAAGAAAUUUAUCCCUACAAAAUCAUAUAGUCUGGCUAUGCUCCAUCUUCACCACAGAAAGUAUUUAAAUCAUGCAUAACCUCGAUGACAAGCCAAGCAAUUGUUUCAUACUUUUGGUGUUCUCAAACUUUUUCAAUCUUCACGCAAUACAUGAGCGUGAGCCAUGGACAUAGCACUAUAUGUGGAAUAGAAUGGUGGUUCUGGAGAAGACAAAAAGGGAGAAGAUAGUCUCACAUCAACUAGGCGUAUCAACGGGCUAUGGAGGUUCCCAUUAAUAGAUAUCAGUGUGAGUGAGUAGGGAUUGCCAAGCAAUGGAUGCACUAGAGCUAUAAGUGUAUGAAAGCUCAACAAAAAGAAUUAAGUGGGUGUGCAUCCAACUUGCUUGCUCACGAAGACCUAGGGCAUUUUGAGGAAGCCCAUUAUUGGAAUAUACAAGCCAAGUUCUAUAAUGAAAAAUUCCCACUAGUAUAUGAAAGUGAUAACAUAGGAGACUCUCUAUCAUGAAGAUCAUGGUGCUACUUUGAAGCACAAGUGUGGAAAAAGGAUAGUAGUAUUGUCCCUUUUUAUAUAAAUAUUUUUUGGGCCUCCCUUUUUUUGGCCUUUCUCUUUUUUGGGACAAUACUCUAUGAAUGAUGAUCAUCACACUUCUAUUUAUUUACAACUCAAUGAUUACAACUCGAUACUAGAACAAAGUAUGACUCUAUAUGAAUGCCUCCGAUGGUAUACCGGGAUAGCAAUGAUGCAUGAGUGACUUUUACGCAAGAAUUAUGAACGGUGGCUUUGCCACAACUAAAAUGUCAACUACAUGAUGAUGCAAAGCAAUAUGACAAUGAUGAAGCGUGUCAUAACAUACGGAACGGUGGAAAGUUGCAUGGCAGUAUAUCUCGGAAUGGCUAUGGAAAUGCCAUGAUAGGUAGGUAUGGUGGCUGUUUUGAGGAAGGUAUAUGGUGGGUGUAUGAUACCGGCGAAAGGUGCGCGGUAUUAGAGAGGCUAGCAAUGGUGGAAGGGUGAGAGUGCGUAUAAUCCAUGGACUCAACAUUAGUCAUAAAGAACUCACAUGCUUAUUGCAAAAAUCUAUUAGUUAUUGAAGCAAAGUACUACGCGCAUGCUCCUAGGGGGAUAGAUUGGUAGGAAAAGACCAUCGCUCGUCCCCGACCGCCACUCAUAAGGAAGACAAUCAAUAAAUAAAUCAUGCUCCAACUUCUUCACAUAACGGUUCGCCAUACGUGCAUGCUACGGGAAUCACAAACUUCAACACAAGUAUUUCUCAAAUUCACCACUACUCAGCUAGCACGACUCUAAUAUCACCAUCUCCAUAUCUCAAAACAAUUAUCAAGUAUCAAACUUCUCAUAGUAUUCAACACACUCAUAAGAAAAAAAUAUUAAUCUUGAAUGCCUAACAUAAUUAAAGCAAAUUACCACGCUGUUUUGUAGGACUAUGAAAAUAAUCUAAGUGAAGCAUGAGAGAACAAUAGUUUCUAUAAAACAAAUCCACCACCGUGCCCUAAAAGAUAUAAGUGAAGCACUAGAGCAAAAACUAUAUAACUCGAAAGGUAUAAGUGAAGCACAUAGAGUAUUCUAACAAUUUCCGAAUCAUGUGUGUUUCUCUCAAAAGGUGUGUACAUCAAGGAUGAUUGUGGAAAACUAACAAAUAAAGACUCAGAUGAUACAAGACGCUCCAAGCAAAACACAUAUCAUGUGGUAAAUAAAAAUAUAGCUCCAAGUAAAGUUACUGAUGGAAGUAGACGAAAGAGGGGAUGCCUUCCGGGGCAUCCCCAAGCUUGGGCUUUUAGGUGUCCUUAGAUUAUCUUGGGGUGCCAUGGGCAUCCCCAAGCUUAGGAUCUUGCCACUCCUUGUUCCAUAAUCCAUCAAAUCUUUCACCCAAAACUUGAAAACUUCACAACACAAAACUUAAGGUAGAAAAUCUCGUGAGCUCCGUUAGCGAUAGAAAACAAAACACCACUUCAAAGUACUAUAAUGAACUCAUUCUUUAUUUAUAUUGGUGUUAAACCUACUGUAUUCCAACUUCUAUAUGGUUUAUAAACUAUUUUACUAGCCAUAGAUUCAUCAAAAUAAGCAAACAACACACGAAAAACAGAAUCUGCCAAAAACAGAACAGUCUGUAGUAAUCUGUAGCUAACGCAAGUUCUGGAACCCCAAAAAUUCUAAAAUAAAUUGUUAGACGUGAGGAAUUUAUCUAUUAAUCAUCUUGAAGAAGAAUUAACUAUAUAUCAAUAAAAAUGGCAGCAAUUCUCGUGAGCGCUAAAGUUUCUGUUUUUUACAGCAAGAUUAAGAAGACUUUCCCCAAGUCUUCCUAACGGUUCUACUUGGCACAAAAACUAAUUAAACACAAAAAACACAACCAAAAUAGAGGCUAGAUAAAUUAUUUAUUACUAAACAGGAGCAAAAAGCAAGGAAUAAAAAUAAAAUUGGGUUGCCUCCCAACAAGCGCUAUCCUUUAACGCCCCUAGCUAGGCAUAAAAGCAAGGAUAGAUCUAGGUAUUGCCAUAAUAAUAGGAUAGAUCAUUAAAACUCAUUUCAAAUUCUCUACGUGCGGCAGCAAGUUUUCUUUGAGGCAAGCAAAAUUAAUCGAAAGGGCUAAACUUAUUGGGACCAAAGUCCCCAAGAUCAACUUUAGGAGGUAUAGGUUCCUUCUUUGGCCCUUCGUAUUGCACAACUAAUUCAUCAUUAUAAGCAUUCUUUUGACAGAACUUCGUAUUGCACAACUCGACGAAUGGAGAGCCACUAUCUGAAGCCUUGUUGCGGUGGCCAACAAAGACGAACCAAGUCCGGUGAGGCCCCCGGGUCGACGCUCCGAUGGAGUCCCGCGGACCAAUGGCGGAAAAGCCGGCGGCACCGCGACCACGGUGCAUUCACCUCUUCCCCAUCCGGUACCACGGACGCUGGCUCGUCGCGACGUCGCGGGCAAUGCUAUCUCCAUAGCAUCGUCUGACCCGCGGACCCACUGUGACCAGCGCCAAGUUCUUCGGGAACGAGCCCAUGAAGACGCUCGAGCCACUAUCGAGCACCGGCGCGGAGCGCGCCACCAGUCAGAUAGGCGAGCAGGGCCUGCUGUGAACCACCCGGCCCCGGAGAGCCCUGGAGGCCUACCUUACGAGGUAGGCUGUCCGGCUUUUACCCAUGAGUUGCGGCAGUUCCAGUGGCCCACUCACCACACCUUCAAACCUGAUGUUGGCGAAAAGUACAAUGGCAAGACUCACCCGUCUGAGUUCCUCAGCAUCUACACCAUCGCGAUGCAAGCCGCCGGAGCCCGCGACAAUAAGGUGCUUGCGAAUUACUUUCCAUUGGCUCUUAACCCAACGCCAUGUCGUGGUUGAUGCACUUGCCGGUAGACUCUAUUUCCUCCUGGUCGGAUUUGUGCCAUGAGUUUGUGGGCGCCUUUACUGGGGGUCACCAAGCCCAUGGCCAAGCAAGCGACCUACAUGUCAUUCCCCAGAAGGGAGGCGAGAGUCUGCGCAAGUAUAUACAGAGGUUCAGUCGGGUACAGUACAACAUCCCUGAUGUUCACCCUGCCGCCAUCAUCAGCGCGUUCCAUCAGAACGUGCGUAACCGCAAGAUGCGCGAAGAAUUGGCAAUGAACAAGGUGAAAGAUGUGGCGGAACUCUAUGUUCUUGCUGACAGAUGUGCCCGAGCUGAAGAGGGAAGGACGUACCCCGGCGAAGAUGCCGACGUGGAAACUGACUCCUCAGAUGAGGAUACUGCCGCCCCGGUGAAGAAAGGCCGGCGCCGCAACAGGAAGCGCAAAGGUAAGGCUGUGCUUGCCAUCGAGGGAUCUGAUGACGCCGGCUCCGCCAAGAAAACCAAGGCAGAUGACCCCGGCAAGGAAAUUGCCGGAUGUGUCGCCUGCCGGGCCUUGGCGGCUGCCGAGAAGCCAGGAAACUCCGACAAGCAAUACUGCAAGAUCCAUCGCACCAAAGGCCAUGAUCUCCAGAACUGCCGACAAGUCGAGCUCCUUGCUGAGAAGCAGAGGGCUGAAUAUGAGAGGCGGGACAAGGAGAAAGUCUAGGACGGUGCUGAGGGGUCCGACAAGAAGCGUAACGGCCAGGCGGGCCGUCGCGGCAAAGAUAAACAGCAGGAGAGGCCUGCCCGGGGCCGUGACAAAAAGGCAGAAGACAAUGAUCACGAACAGGACGAUGAGUCUGGUGACCAAGAAUUUCAGAAGGCUACAGAGGCCAUGUGCGUCGAUGGCGGCGCCUCGCUGCAUACCUCUCACCGCCAGCUUAAACAGUGGGCGUGUGAGAUUACAGCGGCGGAACCGUCGUUUCAUGCCCAAAGGCCGCUGAAGUUGUCCAGCACACCCAUCAUUUUUGACACUGAGGAUCACCCUGAUUGCACUACUGCAGUCGGGUGCUUGCCAUUGUUGGUUUGACCAACAAUACGCAACCUCAAGGUGACAAAGAUGCUAGUCGAUGGUGGGGGCCGGUCUAAACUUAAUCUCGCCUGCCGUGAUCGAUAAAUUACAAAUUCCUGAUGAAGACCUCGAAGAGACGGGCACGUUUCAGGGGGUCAACCCGGGAAGAAGUCAACCAAAGGGAAAGGUCAUGUUGCCCGUGACUUUUGGGAGUGAUCUGAACUACAGGACAGAAAGGAUUGUGUUCGACGUUGCCAAGAUCCCCUUGCCUUACAACGGGAUCCUUGGCCGCCCAGCGUUGGCCAAGUUCAUGGCGGUGUCACAUUACGCCUACAACACCCUGAAGAUGCCGGGGCCUGAUGAUCAUCACCGUCCCGUCAGACAUGAAGGAUGCGCUAAUUUGCGCUGACCAACUCUACCAACAAGCAGUUGCAGCAGCCGCCACUGCUAAGGCGCUUGCUCCUGCCGCUGGAGCCCCGGGAAGGCGAAAGAAGAAGACCGGUGAGACCUCAGGCACCCACUCCGGUAAGCGCACCUCUUCGGAGUGUGGCGCUCCUGUCGAGGACGUGCCAGAAAGCUCCGCCGACAGAAACAAGAAGUCCAGGGCCACGCCACCGGGAACCAAGAAGGUUUUUGUCAAGGAGGAUGGCACGGGAGGAGCUUUUACCAUAAGCUCCACCCUUAACAACAAAUAGGAAGACGCGCUCGUCACCUUCCUACGGGCGAAUGUCGAUGUGUUUGCAUGGCAAGCAUCGGACAUCCCCGGCGUUCCCAGGGAGGUGAUUGAGCACCACUUUGUUGUCUAUCCUCAUGCGCGGCCUGUCAAGCAGAAGGUAAGAAAGCAAGCUUUGGAACGACAAGAGUUCAUCACAGAGGAGAUCCGGAAACUGGAAGCAGCGGGUUUGGUAAGAGGAGUGCUCCAUCUGACAUGGUUGGCCAAUCCGGUGGUAGUGCGCAAGGCAAAUGGGAAGUGGAGGUUGUGUAUUGAUUACACAUAUAUUAAUAAGGCUUGUCCCAAAGACCCCUUCCCGUUGCCGCGCAUCAACCAGAUUGUUGACUCCACAGCUGGGUGUGAUUUGUUGUCAUUCCUCGAUGCCUACUCCGGCUACCACCAGAUCUUCAUGACAAGGUAAGAUGAAGAGAAAACGGCAUUCAUCACCCAUGCGGUACGUAUUGCUUUAUACAGAUGCCUUUCGGGUUGAAGAGUGCUGGUUCAACGUUUGCAAGGGCGGUCCAGAUUGGUUUUGAACCCCAGCUCCAUAGAAAUAUGGAAGCUUAUAUGGAUGAUAUAGUGGUCAAAACCAAGAACAGGGCAACCCUCAUAUCAGAUCUACAAGAAACAUUUGCAAACCUACGCAAGAUCAAUCUCAAGCUGAACCCUGAGAAGUGCGUCUUCGGCGUUCCGUCUUGCAAGCUUCUCGGGUUCUUUGUGUCACAGCAUGGGAUAGAGGCCAAUCCGGACAAUAUCAAAGCUAUAGAGCAGAUUGAAGCACCCAAGCAAGUCAAGGAUGUGCGUCGGCUUGCUGGUUGCGUUGCCUCCAUGAGCAGGUUCAUUUCCAAGUCCGCCGAGCGCGCCCUUCCUUUUUUUCAAGAUUUUGAAAAAGGCGGGCCCGAUGGAGUGGACACCAGAAGCCGAAGCAACAUUGCGAGAUUUGAAGAGGUACCUCUCCUCCGCGCCAAUACUAGUUCCGCCUAGGCCACAGGAACCGUUGCUGCUGUACCUGGCGGCAACGAACCAGGUGGUCAGCGCUGCACUAGUGGUGCAGAGAGAAAUUGAUGAUGAGGUAAUAGUAGCGACGGAGCCCGAUGCCACCGAUGCCGAGACGACGCAGCCAAUUGAAGUGCUGCCGAAGAAGAAAAUGAUGCAGCACCCGGUCUACUUUGUUAGUUCCCUCCUGCAGGGGGCUAAAUCGAGGUACUCCGGUGUGCAGAAACUGCUCUUCGGCCUUCUUAUGGCCUCGAGGAAGCUGCAUCACUACUUCCAGGCGCACGAAAUCACUGUCGUCACUCGCCUCCCUCUGCAACGGAUAUUGCACAAUCCAAACACAACGGGAAGGAUCGUAGAGUGGGCACUGGAACUGUCCAGCUUUGGCCUCAAGUUUGAGAGUACCUCGAUGAUUCAAAGCCGAGUCCUGGCGGAGUUCAUUGCAGAAUGGACCGCGACGCCUGACGAAGAAACCCAAGAGACUGCUCUCCCCGGCAAGGAGGCAAGUUGCGACUGGAUCAUGUACUUUUAUGGAGCUUUCUCCUUACAGGGCGCCGGGGCUGGCAUACUGCUUGUCGCGCCCACCGGAGAGCACCUCAAGUACGUGAUCCAGAUGCACUUCCCCAGGGAGGUGUCAACAAACAAUACGGCUGAGUACGAAGGGCUUCUUGCAGGUCUUAGGAUCGCGGCGGACCUUGGAAUCAAGAAACUCAUCGUCAGAGGCGACUCGCAACUUGUCGUCAAGAAAGUCAACAAGGAUUACCAGAGCCCGUUGAUGAAGGCCUACAUCAAUGAAGUGAGAACGCUGGAAGAGCAUUUUGACAGUAUACAGGCAGAAUACGUUCCCCGAGUGAAGAAUGAUAUCGCCGAUUACCUGUCAAAACGCGUUGCCCUCAAGCUACCUGUGGAACCAAGUACCUUUGUGCUUCGGCUAACUCAGCCAUCUGUUGAUCCAUCAACAGAGCAGAACAAGAGGAGAAAAUCAGAGCCCGACAAGUACUUUCCCGCCGAGCUACCCGAAGCCGCCGGCAAGGAUGUUGCCGGAGACACUGAGCCUGCCACAGGACGGCUAGCUCCGACAGAGCAUCAAGCUCUUGCCGUCGAGACAGCCACUCCUGUAGCGGAGGAAAUGCCUUUAGUCCUUGCCGUCGAGCCCCAGGCUCCAGCGUGGGCACAGCAUACCGUCCGAUUCCUCCAAACAGGGGAAUUUCCUGAGGAGCAGGAAGAAGCGGAAAAAGUAGCCCGUCGCUCUACUAUGUACCAGUUCGUCGAUGACGUCCUGUACAGAAAGAGGCUGAACGGCGUGAAAUUGAAGUGUAUCCCUCAAGAGGAAGGACUGGGGCUGUUGGCGGAGAUACAUGGAGGCAUAUGUGGAUCCCACAUCGCGUCAACGGCCCUUGCCGGCAAAGCGUUUCAGCAAGGUUUCUUCUGGCCCACCGCCCUCUAGGAUGCGAUGACACUAGUCACCAGGUGUGAAGCGUGUCAGUUCCAUUCAAAGAAGCUUCAUCAGCCAGCUCAAGCCCUUCAAACCAUUCCUCUCUCCUGGCCAUUCUCGGUCUGGGGGCUCGACAUACUGGGCCCUUUCCCUCGCGCUGUCGGGGGCUUUGAGUACAUGUACAUUGCAAUCGACAAGUUCACAAAGUGGCCAGAAGUGGAAGCAGUGAGGAAGGUCACAGCACAGUCAUCCGUCAAGUUCUUCAAAGGACUGGUGUGCCGUUUUGGUGUACCCAAUAGGGUUAUCACCGACAACGGCAUGCAGUUCACAAGACACACCUUCAUGCAAUAUAUUCAAGACCUCGGCAGCAAAGUCCGUUUCACUUCCGUUGCUCACCCACGAAGCAAUGGUCAAGCUGAGAGGGCGAAUGCUGAAGUACUGCGAGGCCUGAGGACAAAGACCUUUGACAGACUGUGCAAGAGUGGAAGGCGCUGGAUUGAUGAAUUACCGGCGGUUCUUUGGUCAAUCAGAACGACACCAAAUCGAGCCACCGGCCAGACACCCUUUGCCCUGGUAUACGGGGCAGAAGCAGUUCUCCCCACGGAACUCAUAUACGGGUCACCUCAAGUACUCGCUUAUGACAAGCUUGAGCAAGAGCAAUUGCAGCAAGAUGACGCAACGCUCCUUGAGGAAGAUCGUCUUCGGGCGGCUGUGAGAGCAGCGCGCUACCAGCAAGCCUUGCGUCGCUACCAUAGCCGCAAGGUUCAUGCCCGAAGCUUUGAGGAAGGCGACCUUGUUCUUCGGUGCGUUCAAUCGGCCAAGAAUUCCAACAAGUUGACGCCAAAGUGGGAAGGCCCUUAUCGGGUAAUACGAGUCACCAGGCCCGGCGCAGUCCGCCUGGAGACUGAAGAUGCCGUUCCGGUGAGUAACUCCUGGAACAUUGAGCAUCUUCGCAAGUUUUACCCGUGAGGCGCGGCUUGCCGGGCCCCCGGGCAAGCCACCUUUUGUACGAGCCUUGCCGAUGACGCAUGUAACCCUUUGUACAAAGACAGGCGCAAACCCUGAGCAUAAGUAAAUGAAGCGCUGGCGCCCUAAGUUAUAACAUGCAUGCUAGGUCGAGUCUCAUCCUUGGUUAGGGUUGAUAGUGCUUAGCGGCGACUAAGCCCUAGCUUAGAGGUCGAGUGUGCGUCUCUUUGUCUUUCUUUUGUCUUCUUUGGUUCACAGGACACGCAGAUAUCCGUGACGAACCACUUGGGGAGAAAAAAAAAAGAGGAACAGACCAGCAUCUAGCCCCCGGCAAGCCAGUAUUGCCGGGGGCUGCAAGAGCAAAGAUUCACCCACGGCGAACCAGGGUUGCCGGGGACUACAGCUUCAGAUAAGUUCUUCAUCCCUUAUCAUGCAUUCCAUUAUGGACUGAGGUAUGUGAAACCUCGUUUUCCCCCAAGCUCCCGUGCUCCCCUAACUCUAGGCCCUAGGGCUCGUUCCUGGGGCCAAGUUGGGUCGUAGUCGCGACAGCGAAAGGAUGAAACAAGGAGCCUGAACCCGCCUCAUCCCUGCCUCCGCCAAAGGCGCGAGGAAGGUCGAGUGAAGUGGGGAGACGGCAAGGCCUGUUGCCGGGCAAGGAAAUGUUUAUCUUGAAGAUAUCAAGGAUUUACUCCUUGUCAUGGGUUCCACCCGCAAACAAAUGACCCGGCAAGCAUCCCUUUUUCAUUAAAAAAACAUUCCACUCAGGUACAGUCCAUAGGGAAUGAAAAAUAUGAAUGAUGGUAUUACAAGUUUUAAAUUCAACAAAGGCCCGAAGGCUUACAAACUAAAAAGAGAUAAGGUGCCCGUAAUCCCUUUCUUGUCCCUCUCCUCAGGAGGAAGGUCAAGGAGGUGAAAAGGAUAAAAGGAGUGCCUAGGCGAGCUACGGGUGGCAGAAGACACCAAGAGAACAUCUUGGUGGUCGUCCAAAGGCUGGAUGGUGAUGGCGGCGCCGGAAGCAGAGCUCGAAGACAAGGCGGCAGGACGUCAGCAUGCGUCGAAGGCAUUGGUGCCCGCGUACUCCGACUUGACGGCCUUGCCGCCCGCCCUCUUCCUCUUCUGCAGCCUCCUAAUGCCAGCCGCCCAAGGAGACGACCCCGAGAAGUUCAGGGAGCCGGCGACGCGGAUGAUGGGGUCGCCGGUGCCGCACGGAGCGGCACCCGACACCUAAUCAGACUCGUCAUCCUGCAGCCUACUACCCUUGUCGUCGCUGCCGCUGUCCUCCUCGUCACUCCCGCCCGAGGAAGAGCUCUCCACGCAGCACCUUGCACGGGUCCCAAAGCACCCAAAGACCUUGACGGAGAGAAGGCCACCCUCCAUCAGCUUAAAAUGGAGAGUGAGCCCCUCCGUCAAGCGGUGGAUAUGAGCAAACGUCUUCCAUCCCCGACAAAGAUACAUCACGUGAGGGGCGGGGAAGUCGACGCGGACCCGCGUGCCACUGAUCCCGCGGCCCCUCAUGUGCAGCCGCAACAAUUCCGGCGGAUCCAGCUCCAUCUCCCACGCAAAUGGAGUCGGGAGACGAAGGCGACGGCGCGGCGGCCGGCGCAGCCUGACGAAGAACUCACAAGGGUCAUCCCCAACAUGGCCCUCCAUUGGAGGAGGAGCUGCUGGCGGAGGCGAGGCCGGCGCGCCGCCCCGUCCUCCUCUUCCCCGAGCGCCCCGGCCUCGCCCACGGCCUCGCCCCCUCCCCCUUCCCCUCGCGGUUGGCUCUGCCACCGCAGGCGCAGGAGAAGGAGGGACGCGUUGUCGAGCGGCGACCCUCGCCGCCACUGUUGAAGGACCGGGAUUCCCUCUCUCCAUGACGGAUGGAAGGGAGGAGCAGAAGCUGAAGGAAGAAGAAGAUGAAAGAAUGCGGGACGCCAUCCCCCCCUCCUGCUCUUUAUAAAGGAUCGGGGUUGGGGCUCGGCCGCCCCGCUCGAACAAUCAAGAUACGGAAGGCGCAGGGAGCCAGGACCGACCCGCCACCCCAACCAGCGACGGCCCGGUUUCUCGCCUCCACCGUUUGCCACCCCAGGCGCAUGGGAGACAAGUGGCGGACGUGCAGAACCGAGGGGACGGGUGAGACGACCACUCCCCACCCCGUGAUCGUGGGGAGUGGACGCCUUGAAGACCGUGCCUCAACCCCAUUCAGUAAAUGGGCUGCGCCUCCACGCCUCCCUCCGUUUAUGGGGAAGGCGCGAACCGCCCCUUUACUACGAUGUGACACAUGCCUGCGGGAACCAACCCCACGCAUGCCGCCCACGUCACACGCGCCUCCCCACGCCGCGCCACGUGCGGGAGUCGUGGGAAGCGCAGCGCGCGAAGAAUCUUACCGCGGUAAAAACCGCCCCGCCUGCCCGCGCACCAUUUUUGGGCCUAGCCCAACAACGCGUUGCGCUUAUGUGUGGCCGAGGCCCGGGGGCUCCUGUCGGUGUACAAAAAGAGGGGUACACUUUUUGUACCCCUAUAACUGUGCACGGGCAGUCUAAGCCACGGGCACCACCACACCAAGCAAGGCAAGGGAGGUGAGCCAGGGUAAGACCGAAGCUCAAGAGAACUACGACGCCAAGUCCAAGACCACGAAGAGCAAAGGGGACGAAGCGGACUCCCCUGGCAAAAUCCUUGUCGGGAGACAGUUCUAGCAGCCCCGGCAAGACCCUUGUCGUGGCGACUCGUCCCGCGCCUACGGAGCAAAUCACCCUUGAGUCCACUGCCCCCAAAGGGCAAGGAUUCAGGAGACAUCCCCGUGGCGGCAUGCAGAUCUUCGUGAAGACAUUCAAGAUCAGAUAUGCACUAAGGAGACGACAACCCUUGGCGGGAUCCCAGCCGAGGAAGACCACAAGGCCCUCGGCAAGCGCCUUGCCAGGGAUGACAGCAGGCGCCCCGGCAAGGCCCUUACCGAGGACACCCGCAGGGCCACCAUCUGGCCCACGCCGACUAAACCUCCACCGCCAUUCGCAUGCAACUGCCGAUCCAACUAGCUGGGCAGGCACCUGCGUGGAGGCAUGCAGAUCUUCGUGAAGACCCACCACUGCACCACCUCAGCUGCCUGCCUACCUACGUGGCAUCGCAGGCGUCGCUGGCCAGGGCGCGUGUCGACACAAGAAGGAGCGGCGACGGACGAGACAGGUUUCUCCCCCAUCCCCGAUAAAGCAAGGACACCUAAUCAAGACGCAUUAAAUGCGCCUUGUCAUGUAAUGCGAGGGAUAACCUCGCAUCACUAUUCCCUUUCCACCUCGUGUGUGCCACUGUGGCAUCCCCUUUUUCUAUAAAAGGAGGCCCGAGGCGACCAGGAGAAGGAUUCGGCUUUUUGGAGCUCCUCACGCCCCAUAGCUAACUCAAGAACAUAGAUAUACAAUCCACCAAAGCAGGAGUAGGGUUUUACGCAUCCUCGUGGCCCGAACCUGGAUAAACGAACCGUGUGCUACCUGUUAGAUCCACUCUUCUCACGACCCCGCGCCCCGCUAACCAUAGUAGGGAUUCUUGUGAUCCCAUAGGUGUCCUCCCCACCGACAGUGCAUCAAGGACAUAAUACUUCUGUUCAGCAAUGAGGAUAAUCCUCAGAUCAUGGAGCUAGUCCGCAUCACUGCUACUAACAACUUUCAACUUAUAUUUCUCUAGGAACAUAUCAAAAAUAAACGGGGAGCUACAUCGCGAGCUAUUGAUCUACAACAUAGUUUGUAAAUACUAUCAGGACUAAGUUCAUGAUAAAUUAAAGUUCAAUUUAAUCAUAUUACUUAAAAACUCCCACUUAGAUAGGCAUCCCUCUAGUCAUCUAAAUGAUCACGUGAUCCAUAUCAACUAAACCAUGUCAGAUCAUCACGUGAGAUGGAGUAGUUUUCAAUGGUGAACAUCACUAUGUUGAUCAUAUCUACUAUGUGAUUCACGCUCGACCUUUCGGUCUCAUUGUUCCUAGGCCAUAUCUGCAUAUGCUAGGCUCGUCAAGUUUAACCCGAGUAUUCUACGUGUGCAAAACUGGCUUGCACCCGUUGUAUAUGAACGUAGAGCUUAUCACACCCGAUCAUCACGUGGUGUCUCGGCACGAUGAACUGUAGCAACGGUGCAUACUCACGGAGAACACUUGUACCUUGAAAUUUAGUGAGAGAUCAUCUUAUAAUGCUAAUGCCGUACUAAGCAAAAUAAGAUGCAUAAAAUAUAAACAUCACAUGUAAUCAAAAUAAGUGAUAGGAUAUGGCCAUCAUCAUCUUCUGCCUUUGAUCUCCAUCUCCAAAGCACCGUCAUGAUCACCAUCAUCACCGGCUUGACACCUUGAUCUCCAUCAAAGCAUCAUUGUCGUCUCGCCAACUAUUGCUUCUACGACUAUCGCUACCACUUAGUGAUAAAGUAAAGCAAUUACAUGGCGAUUGCAUUUCAUACAAUAAAGUGACAACCAUAUGGCUCCUGCCAGUUGCCGAUAACUUGGUUACAAAACAUGAUCAUCUCAUACAAUAAAAUUUAGCAUCAUGUCUUGACCAUAUCACAUCACAACAUGCCCUGCAAAAACAAGUUAGACAUCCUCUACUUUGUUGUUGUAAGUUUUACGUGGCUGCUACGGGCUUCUAGCAAGAACCGCUCUUACCUACGCAUCAAAACCACAACGUUUUUUCGUCAAGUGUGUUGUUUUAACCUUCAACAAGGACCGAGCGUAGUCAAACUCGAUUCAACUAAAGUUGGAGAAACAGACACCCACUAGCCACCUGUGUGCUCAUGAACGUGGUCAUGUAAUGUCGGUCUAGGCCGCUUCAUCCAACAAUGCCGCUGAAUCAAAGUAAAACAUUGCUGGUAAGCAGUAUGACUAUUAUCGCCCACAACUCAUUGUGUUCUACUCGUGCAUAUAACAUCUACGCAUAGACCUGGCUCUGAUGCCAUUCUUGGGGAACACAAUAUUCCAAAAAAUUUACCUACGAUCACACAAGAUCUAUCUAUGAGAUGCAUAGCAACGAGCGGGGAGAGUGUGUCCACCUACCCUCGUAGAUCAAAAGUGGAAGCGUUUAGCAACACGAUUAAUGUAUUUGAACGUCUUCGCGAUCCAACCGAUCCAAGCACCAAGUGUAGGGGCGCGCCUAGUGUAGGGAGUCCUACUAGGACUCCUAAGUCCUAGUAGGAUUCCCUUUCCUUUUUGGAGUAGGAAAGAGGGAGAGGAAGGGGAGGGGGAAGGAAAGAGUGGGUUGCGCCCCCACCCCUUGUCCAAUUCGGUUUGGGCAGGGGGGAGGUGCACGCCACCUUGUGGCCCUUCUUCCCUCUCUCCACUAAAUCCCAAUAAGGCCCACUAACUUCCCCCAGCGAAUUCCCGUAACUCUCCGAUACUCCAAAGAAUACCCGAAUCACUCGGAACCAUUUCGAUGUCCAAAUAUAGCCUUCCAGUAUAUCGAUCUUUACCUCUCGACCAUUUUGAGACUCCUCGUCAUGUCCGUGAUCUCAUCCGGGACUCCAAACAAACUUCGGUCAUCAAAUCACAUAACUCAUAAUACAAAUCGUCAUCGAACGUCAAGCGUGUGGACGCUACGGGUUCAAAAACUAUGUAGACAUGACCGAGACACAUCUCCGGUCAAUAACCAAUAGCAGAACCUGGAUGCUCAUAUUGGCUCCUACGUAUUCUACAAAGAUAUUUAUCGGUCAAACCGCAUAACAACAUACUUCAUUCCCUUUUUCAUUGGUAUGUUACUUGCCCGAGAUUCGAUCGCCGGUAUCAUCAUACCUAGUUCAAUCUUGUUACCUGCAAGUCUCUUUACUCGUUCCAUAAUGCAACAUCCCGCAACUAACUCAUUAGUCACAUUGCUGGCAAGGCUUAUUGUGAUGUGCAUUACCAAGAGGGCCCAGAGAUGCCUCUCUGAUACACGGAGUGACAAAUCCUAAUCUUGGUCUAUGCCAACUCAACAAACACCAUCGGAGACACCUGUAGAGCAUCUUUAUAAUCACCCAGUUAUGUUGUGACGUUUGAUAGCACACAAAGUGUUCCUCUGGUAUUCGGGAGUUGCAUAAUCUCAUAGUCAGAGGAAUAUGUAUAAGGGCAUGUUCUGAAUCUCUCCCAACUCCACCAAAUCUGCAGCUUCUACUUCUCUGGCGAGCUUCUCACUCCACGCAGCGAUCAAAAAACGUUCCGGAGCUAUGGCAGCUUCUCCCCUCGCUGCAGCCCAACUGGGAGGCAAAAAACCUGCUGGGCGCCCCUUUGGGCUGGCUGGAAGCAACCCAAUUCAGCAGCUGGAUGUCUAGAGGCCGAAAAAGAAAACCAAGACAUGCUGGGCUGCUCAUGUGGUGAUGGCUGGCCUUAUAACAUGCACACUUUUUUCCAGUAGCUAUUUCCAACAAUUUUGGCUUUACAGGAACAUGUACAGAGAGCAUUUCUUGGGUACAUGGAGCAACAGAUGUACAACAAACAUGUAUUUUUUUGAAAGAUCCCAAAUUUUCUCAGCUAACAUAAGUUAUAAUUUAGUAGAAAAACUAGUUCUAUCAUGUGUCAUACAACAAAAGCUCCAUUUGCAUAUAAGUUUGCAAAUCAAUAUGGUCACACAUCUAAAAUCACGAACAUGAUUACUUCACCAACUAAGAGCAAUGGCGGUAGCUAGUUCAUGCCUAAACAAAUCCAUGUUAGGAGCACUUGCCGCCAUUGUUGAAGCAUCCGAUGCAUUUGAAGGAAUAGCAUACUUCUUGUAUCUAUCAGGAAUAGUUGGAACAUAAUCCGGAUCCCUCUCACACCGAAGGAAGUGGAGAUCCUCUUUGUCAUGGAGGCGGACGUAGUUGUGUAGUGUCAUGGUAGCCCCAAUAAUCAUUUUUUGUGUUACAAUCGAGUAGUUUGGCAUCUUGAGCAAUAUUUGCCAUUUCAUCUUCCACACACCAAAGGUUCUCUCUAUGGUAUUGCGCUUGGAAGAGUGGAUCCGGUUGAACUUCUCUAGGGGAGUAGUUGGGGGCGCACCUCUUUGGAAGUCGGGGACGUGAUAUCGUUCUCCUUUGUAGGGUGCUAGAUAGCCAUCUCUGUUAGGAUAACCGGCGUCUACAAGGUAAUACUUGCCUACAGAAAGUAACAACAAACAUGAUUGUGAGUUGGAGGAUAUGUUACAUAAGUUGCAACAACAAGAAAUACUAACCCUUGGGAGGAUGUGGGAAUGUGGCCUUGUCAUUUUCAAUAGCAUGGAAUAGCACACUUGUGUCAUGCAUAGAACCCGGUUGUCCAAUUGAAGCGUAGGUGAAAUGCAUAUCAAAGUCGCAUACUGCCAUCACAUUUUGAGUUGUUGCACCCGUUCUUCCAAUGUACCUUACUUUUGAAGGUCCCUCCGGAAUAGAAGCCCUAACAUGUGUCCCAUCUAUUGCACCAAUGCAGUCUUUGAGGUGAGGAUAAGCCCUUUUGUCACGCUUAAUCCUAUCAUGCACAAUGUGAAAAUUUGGGUCUUGAGGCCUAAUGUAGUGAGAUGACAUCUUGAUCACACAAUGUGGAACCUCAUGGAACUUACGAUGGACUGUAUCCGCUCCAUGUUUAAAACGGUUUUGGGUUCUUCUAUUUGAUUCACAACCCCCCAAGGUCUACAAGAACAUAGCAAGAGACUCAUAAGUGGUAAUAAAGCAUGUUUCUUUGAGGCCGUACUCCGCCACCAACUUGUCAUGAAGAUCAAAGAACACAUGUGCAUUCAUUCUCAACAUUGUGUACGUCUCUCCAGGUGUGCAAAUAGUCUGUUGCACCCAUUCAAAACCAGUCAACCUAGAUGUCCUAGGAUUGGCCUUCAUGACCCAACUUUUACAAUACUUACCAACUAUGGAUGACACACCUGAACAACGCAUGUCCAUAUCAUGUUGAUAUUGGAAAACCAUAAUUUUCUUUCUUUCAUAAUGAAUGUCAUCAUCACUUUCACUAUCCGAUGACAUCUGCAUAUAAACAAUCACCAAAAUAUGAAACACAAGUUAGCACCAAUUGGAUCGACAACAUAAGAAUAAUGCAUACAUAAAUAGCAAACACUAGGCUGAACAACAUAGACAUAAAAGAUGGUUCCACAGUGCGUACAUAAAUAGAUGGAAUAGUAUCAAGUAGUUCCCAUACUUUAAGAAGUAGGUUCAACAUAAAAGACACAAAUAGUUUUGAGAGCAAAGGAUAAUCGACCAUCUCACAUAGAUGGAAUGUAAAGUAACUACUUCCCAUACUUCAACUCAUACUUCCUACGCAACCAACCCUUUCGAGAGUCAAGAGGCAUGUAAAGAAACAUCUCCCUUUGCGCCCUCUUCACAAACAAUUCGCUAGCCAUGAAGAACUCAUCGCUAUCAACUGCUGCACCACAAGCAAUGACUUCAUCCAUGACCGAGGUGACACAGUUCGCCUCAUCUUGCUUUAGGAAAGACUGAAAUGAUGAGUGAGAAGCCUCGGCAAUGUCACCAAUCCUUCUAACUUGCUCACACAUCACUUG
Molecule: long non-coding RNA, 18669 nt
Filed under: Triticum aestivum (bread wheat)
Lineage: Eukaryota; Viridiplantae; Streptophyta; Magnoliopsida; Poales; Poaceae
Description: long non-coding RNA (TAES_LNC001211)
Source: RNAcentral